RNAcentral lists this ribosomal RNA (484 nucleotides) under uncultured bacterium. RNAcentral describes it as "partial 16S ribosomal RNA". It matches the Rfam family "Bacterial small subunit ribosomal RNA", at positions 28 to 523 of the family's 1533-position model. The record is from RNAcentral.
GACGAACGCUGGCGGCGUGCUUAACACAUGCAAGUCGAACGAUGAAGCUGGAGCUUGCUCCGGUGGAUUAGUGGCGAACGGGUGAGUAACACGUGAGCAAUCUGCCCUUGACUCUGGGAUAACUGCGGGAAACUGUAGCUAAUACCGGAUACUUUCACUGGAAGGCAUCUUCUGGUGAAGAAAGAAUUUCGGUCAAGGAUGAGCUCGCGGCCUAUCAGCUUGUUGGUGAGGUAACGGCUCACCAAGGCGACGACGGGUAGCCGGCCUGAGAGGGGGACCGGCCACACUGGGACUGAGACACGGCCCAGACACCUACGGGAGGAAGCAGUGGGGAAUAUUGCACAAUGGGCGCAAGCCUGAUGCAGCAACGCCGCGUGAGGGAUGAAGGCCUUCGGGUUGUAAACCUCUUUUAGCAGGGAAGAAGCGAAAGUGACGGUACCUGCAGAAAAAGCACCGGCUAACUACGUGCCAGCCGCCGCCGUAA